This 320-nucleotide long non-coding RNA is filed under the name Mytilus galloprovincialis (Mediterranean mussel). Lineage: Eukaryota; Metazoa; Mollusca; Bivalvia; Mytilida; Mytilidae. The record is from RNAcentral.
GUCCUUUUCUUUUUGUCUUGUAUACUUAUUCAGUGGUUGUUUGUUUAUGUGUUACAUAUUUGUUUUUCGUUCAUUUUUUGUACAUAAAUAAGCCGUUAGUUGUCUAGUUUUACAUUGUUAUUUCGGGGCAUUUUAUAGCUGACUAUGCGGUAUGGCAUUGGAUCAUUGUUGACGACCGUACGGUGACCUAUAGUUGGUAAUUUCUGUGUCAUUUUUGGUCUUUUGCGGAGAGUUGUCUCUUUGGCAAUCAUAACACACCUUCUUUUUUUAUAUCUAUUGUACACAUUUUGUUUUUGUCACUGAUUUAGUCACCUUAAAAG